GGACUGAAACACCAAAACUUCAAGGGACAGGGAUGAAUUCUGAUCAGCAGAAUGCUGAAUCUGCUAUUCUUUUCUCUUCUUUUUUUUUUUUUUUUUUUUUUUUUUUCUUGGGGAGAUGGGAGUACCAGGGUGGGUGGAACAUCAUCUCUCUUGACCAUGUAUUCUCUUAUAAGAGUGGAAUAGUGCAGGUAUAAAAGUACAACUAAAAUUUGACUUUUACUGUAAUCAGAAAUUGUGCUUAUCCGGUGAUUGUCAGGAUGGGGUUUGAAAUUCAAGUGAAUAUAAGAAAGUAAGUUGUUACUUUCAUCCAAAAGUGAGAUAACAGUGUGAUCUGUGGCUUUCAUCUGCAGAUUCCCUGCCUCACCAUCCCUGGAAUCAUGGGUCUUUAAUAUUCCGAUCUGCCACCUGAGCUGGGGGGAGAAGAAGGACAUCAGUAAUGGACCCAUCCAUCCCAUCUCACUCAUGGUCCCAGCCCUUGAGAACAAAAAGAUUUAUUUCCUCACAUUGUUCUGAUUCUGUCUCAUUGAAGUGGGUUGUUUCUGAUUUGUGCUGGGAUAAUAAAAGAGAAUAGGAUUUUUGCAGAGGAACACAGAGAUGCUACAGAUUCUUGCUGUGCUUGGAGAGAAGUUUAAAAUGUUCUAUAUCUAUUCUUGUAGGAUAAAGUGGGCCAGGAAUGCUGCUUCCUAUUUGGUCACCAACAUAAUCUCAUUGCUAAGUUUCUGACCAAUUUCUUUUUUCAGACACCAGAUUUAUGGUAUAAAACAUGAGGUUCCAGUGGGGAAAAUCUGUAGGAAAAGCCAGCGAGAAGUGCUCAAAAUGAAAUUGAAGCAAGAGCUUUAUUGUGCAAGCGACAAACCUGUCCUUCAAGGGCUUCAAUUUACUACUUUUCUUGCUAAUGAGUGGGGCUAAUAAUCCAACUCAUUAAUCACCUUAAACCCCAAAGAGUCUCUUCAGUGGGGAUGCAGGGUUGGCGGGGGCAUGAUCAUGUCUGAGAUCUCUGUGAAGCAAUUAAAACUUCAUGGUCAUAUUCACUUCUACAGUUGCUCAGUAGCAAAGUCUUAAACUGCUGUCUUAAUUUUUAUUUAAAAGUGGUUCUGACCUGAAAGAAAAACAAUAUUAAUGUGAAAACCUUGUAUAAAAAAAAAAAAAAGAGCAUUUAAAACCAGAUUAUCAAAGGUACCACAAUCGUCUCCUGAACUGCAACCUGCAACACUCAAACAACUGCAGAGCUCUUGCAUAUGGAUUCUAUACUGGUUCUGAAUAUAUAUUUUUAUUAAAAUGUUCACUUAAAAAGGUGAGAAUUGGGGCUACUCCUGAAGAAGAGCACAAUUCUUCUGAUAUGACAGGGUAACACUAGUAAUUUGGAAAAAGGACUUGCAAAGAAUUUCCAGAGCAGUGAAUCCUGUUCAAGGAUCUGUGGUUAAUAGUCUUUUAAGAUGCACCCAAUUCUCAGUUGCAUGGUACACUUGUCAAAUUUAUUAAAAUGACACAUCUAUUUGUAACCCUCUGAUAAGAACCUGAUUAAAUUUUUU
Falco peregrinus (peregrine falcon) is the source of this 1532-nucleotide long non-coding RNA. RefSeq lists it as uncharacterized. The transcript is spliced from 3 exons. The record is from RefSeq and is a predicted model, not a curated record. Lineage: Eukaryota; Metazoa; Chordata; Aves; Falconiformes; Falconidae.